GCUGGCGGCAGGCCUAACACAUGCAAGUCGAGCGCGAAAGCACUUCGGUGUGAGUAAAGCGGCGGACGGGUGAGUAACGCGUAGGAAUCUACCUAGUAGUGGGGGACAACUCGGGGAAACUCGAGCUAAUACCGCAUACGCCCUACGGGGGAAAGCGGGGGACCUUCGGGCCUCGUGCUAUUAGAUGAGCCUGCGUUGGAUUAGCUAGUUGGUGGGGUAAAGGCCUACCAAGGCGACGAUCCAUAGCUGGUCUGAGAGGAUGAUCAGCCACACCGGGACUGAGACACGGCCCGGACUCCUACGGGAGGCAGCAGUGGGGAAUAUUGCGCAAUGGGCGAAAGCCUGACGCAGCCAUGCCGCGUGUGUGAAGAAGGCCUUCGGGUUGUAAAGCACUUUCAAUUGGGAGGAAAGGUUCACGGUUAAUAACCGUGAGCUGUGACGUUACCUUUAGAAGAAGCACCGGCUAACUCCGUGCCAGCAGCCGCGGUAAUACGGAGGGUGCAAGCGUUAAUCGGAAUUACUGGGCGUAAAGCGCGCGUA
RNAcentral lists this ribosomal RNA (540 nucleotides) under uncultured Gammaproteobacteria bacterium. RNAcentral describes it as "bacterial SSU rRNA". It matches the Rfam family "Bacterial small subunit ribosomal RNA", at positions 35 to 573 of the family's 1533-position model. Lineage: Bacteria; Pseudomonadati; Pseudomonadota; Gammaproteobacteria. The record is from RNAcentral.